AGAAAUACAUGGCAGACAAGUAAAAUAUAUGAACUGCUUUUUUUCUACCUAAUUGGCUAAUUGGCAACUUUUGUCCACUCAGCCCUCCCAAAGCUUCCAAGAUGCAUAGUCGAAAUGUAUUUUUAAUACAAAUAUAUUUUACCUUUUUGUGAAGACUUUAUUCAUGUCUGUUUCACCUAAACUUGACAAAUAUUGGAAGGCUAAAAGUAAAGAAAACUUGCAGUGCAAAUGGAAAAGAAAUUAUAUUUUUGAGGUACAAAAUUUUUCCAGGAAGUACCAUCAUAUUUGAACUAGAAAUAGUCUCAAACCAAAUCAAUCGCCACCAGAUUCAAACAUAUGUGAAAUUUGAGGAAAUCCAGAUCUCUCUUGUCUUUUAUAUCUGUGGUAGAACUUAACCACAAAUCUACCACCAGUUCUGGAUGAAAUUUGACCUAUUUAGAACAGAUCCAAAGCAGAGUUGAUCAUUGCAAUUCCAGGUACAUUAUACUUGAACAAAAUCUCAAAAUCUGUGGAACAUAGCAGUUACAUCAUACAUAAUGUAUCUUUAAGCAAUAUGAACUGCAGGUGAGUGCAGAUAUUCUUGAGAUAGCUUUAAGGUAGGUAAUUCUGGCAAUUUAGCUUCAGGAGCUCAGCAUUAGCUAGCUGUUGUUAUCUGUUCCAAAGUGAGUUUUGCAUGCCAUGCUGAGCUUCUUGAUGCCUUUUCCAGUCAGACAGCAGGCAUCAUAUGAGGUAAUUUAAAGUUAUCUGCAGUAUGCAACAUAGCUGUCAUGCAGACAUAUUAGUGGACUUUAUGCAAUCUUUUGCUACUGACAUGUUCUGCUAGCUGGUAUUGGUAAAAUGGACUUAUGUGCCUUGAUGCUACUAGCAGAAAGCAUUUUUUUGUGCUUUGCCGAGCAAAAGGACAAUGGUAACUUCUUCCUGCAGCAGUCACGGAGCACAGAGAAAAAAUCAGUUUCAUUUGCAGCAAGGAAGGGCUGGUUAGGCUCUUCAGGGUGCGCUUUAGUUUACUUGGUUUUGUUUAGAACAGCAAGCUGCAUUAAAACAGGAUAGGCAGCCUGUGGCUUUUGAGAUACAUGUACUCACCAAACAAUUCCAGUGCAAUUGCUAUGCUAAAGCUUUCUGUUGGCUUGUGUUGCUAUGGGAAGGACAGGUAAACUGAGCCUCAAGAGUGGCUGUAUUGAGAUUACCUGUGACCUAGCUCACAUUAUCUCCUACUGAAGUGGUCAGGCCCAGAGCACACCUCUGCUAUUUGCUAUGUAUAAGUCCUCUUAAGAACCCCUUCAGACAAUCAGUCUGCACGGUACAUGUAUUUGAUUUUGGCAGGGAGAUGUUAGGAUCAAUAAAAAUCUUUGGAGACCUUUUCCUACUGUUUCUAUGCUGGCUAGUUCCUACAAAACUAUAUUUGCCUAUCUUAAAAAAAAAAAAAAAAAAAUCUUCAGAAGCAUUAAAGCAACUAAGCAAUAAAGAUCAAGGAUCUGAUCCAGACUGUGGAAAAAUGCUUGGAGACGAGGCUGAAAUCUCCAGCUCAGUAAAAUUUUUAUUUGUACUUGCUAGUGUUCUCUCCUUCCCUGCACACCGUUAUUUAUCUCUUACCUUGAGCCACAUAUAUUGUGGCAUUAUGAGAAAUAUUUUCCAAAAGAACUAUAGCAUCUCCUUGGGAUGAUGGCUCUUACUAAAAAGAUUCUUUUGUUCACUAAGUAACACACCAAGUGUCAUCUAUUUUCCUGUAACAGUUUGCUUUUUUUUUUUUUUUUUUUAAGAUGGCUGUCUUUUCACAAUCAGAAUUAGAAACUAAUUAUAUUCAGUUAUUCAGACCUUGCAAAGAAAGAACUAAGAUUGUCAAACGUACGGCUUUGCUUUCUCCCUGUUUGAAAAGUGGACUGAAGUACAAAUGCUGCAUUGUGCCUGCUACUCUCAAGAGUACGUGAAUGAUACUUACAUAUAUGCAUGCAUACAUAUAUAAAUAUAAAUAGUUUAUAUAUAUAAUGCAUAUAUAGUGUUUGCAAUGUUCCAGUGAUAUCAAGACAUUCAGUAGAGUAUAUUAAAAUGGUUUUGUUUUUAGUCCAUUUAGUCAUUGCAUUGAAGGCAAAGAUUAUAUACCAAGAUUAUUUUUUCAUCUUUUGAAAAGUCAAUAGUAAAUCUUCAAUUAUAAUCUCACUCUCUUUAUUGGGGCUAUUAUUGUCAGUAAAAGCCCUCAUAUGUUUUUGCAGGAUGGCAUCUAUAUUUGUCCUGGGGAAACAUGACUAGCCAUGAGUGUGAUAUCAGUAUAGUUAUGUCCUUAGAAAUUCAUUUUGCUUGUUAUUAUAGAGAAAGACAAAGAAGAACAAAACUUUGGGAGAGUUUCCGUUAUUAAAUAUUUACCAUUUCAGGUCCAGAGUCAAGAAAGUACAGAAACUUUUGGGUUGCAGUUCCUUGUACUCAAGACUCCCACUGAAGACAAUAGGAUUUAGGGCCUACCACAGCACAUUGCAUCAACCUUGCAGGUUAUAGGCCUACUUUCCAAUUUGAAAUCCUAUAAUCAAAGCCCACAAGCAGACCCCAUCUGGAAAGAAAUUGGAGGUGAAGAAGACAUGUGGAUAGCAUCUCCAGAGGAGAGGUGUAAGACACAAAGAAUACGAAUGCCUAUGCUUCAUUUUACAGAAAAGGAAUGUCUAAUUGGGCAAGUCCUUACAAAAACUCUGAAACAUUCUGCUGACAUCUGUAUUUCAUAUUCCACAGUUCUGCCCCUUUACCAACACCUACUGAGACCAAGGAGAAGUCAUAAAGCCUAUCUCAUCCAUUGACAUGGGGCCCAAUUGUCUGCCAUAUAACUUCAAAUUCUUUAAGGAGAGCAGUGCAACAUGACUGACUUACUUGUAAAACAAAUACAAAUUAAAAAAAAAUCCCUCAAGCCAAAAAGAGCUGGACAAAUGACAGGGAGAAGAUAAAGCUAAUAAAUAAAGCAAAGAAAAAAAUAAAAAGGAUAUUAGUUUGGGAGGUUACAAAUGUAAUAAAUGCAUUAUUUAUAAAAACAAAGCUAACAAAUGAAAAAUACUAACAAACAAAAAGAAUUUUAGUGAAGAAAUCACUUAGGAAGUUUUACUUCAAGCAAUGUAAUAUAACUCAAAUACAGAACUCUUGGGGGAACUUCAUGUAACUCUUAUUCAGAGCUAUAAGUAACACCACAAUUUGGACACAAACAGGAAAAACCAUACUGUCAACUUUUGGUAGUGCUAGAAUCCUUUCAACCUGCUAGAGUAAAUAUGACUGGCAAGCACAGAGACAAGAUUAGAGGUGAGUCUGUUGAUCUAAAAAUACAAAGAAUGUAUAUGGCAUUUUAUAGUGCUGCGAAAGAGAAUCUGAAAUAGUUAGUCUUGCUUUUUCCUCACUUUCAGGAUGUCUAACAUAUGUCUUCAGUAGUCAGCUGUUUUUAAAUGUUAGAUAUACCAGAUGACUUAAGCCACUCAUUCACCAUGAGUGCCUUUUAAAGAUGUGAUUGGACUACGAAUUUAUUAUUAAUAACUAUACAGGAGGUGAUGUUCUCUGAGCACUGGAGAUUUCCUGGAUGACAGGAAAGUAGUCACAGAAAUUAUGUGUAUGUACAAAAAAACACCAGUGAAGAUGAGAGUGCAUUUUGAAAUGAAAAUGAAAAAAAAAAAAAAAAGAUUGGAAGCAGAAGACAGAACCAAGAAGGAUGACUAUGUUUUUGGCCAUAUUAGUAACACAAGUUAUAGGAAUACAAAGAGAAUUUUGGUGGGACUGCUAAAUGAUGUGAUAUUUUCAGUCAGACACACAAAUAAUUUAAAAUGAAGGAAGCUAAAAAGUCCUAUUUGAUGCCUACUUGCCCUUGGGUUCUGCAGAGGAACAUUUUGUGUUCAGAAGAGGACAGUCCUGUUUUAGAGAAUGACUCAGCUCCCAGGACAGUAUCCUUUGUGAGUUUUCCUCAUGCAUGUGUUGAAACAGAUGCCAACAUAGCAGUUACUGCGGAGACAGCUAAGGAGUGCAUAGGCAAAGAAGCAACAGAUAAUUCAUGAGCUGUAAGAGCAAUUCUUUUUUUUUUAACUGUGUGCAGUUCAAACACAAGUAGAAAAAAGAAUAAAUAAUUCUAAAAAUCUGAUCAAUAAGCUUAUCAAAGAAGAAAUCUCUGUUUGCUAUAAGAGAUGGAACCAAAGCAAAACAAACACAGGAGGAUUGCUAAACAAUUAUUUAAUAAUAUUUAGUAAAAUAGUUUUCCUGAGUAAGAAUGAAGGAAUUACUUCAUUACUACCUACUUCAAUAUUAAGUAUUCAGGAAACAAAAAUGUGGCUCAUUAACCUGAAUAUCCUUAGAAACUCAGAAAUACGGAAGAAGAUACUCAAGCCUGGAUAACUAAGAUAACUGUUAAUAAUAAUCUUUGCUUAUUUUAUCUUCUGUAGGAAGCAGAGAACAACAACCAAUUCCUUCCAAAUGCAGGCAUACUGUCAGCUGCACAUUGCAUAGCUCUGCUUUAACUAUAUUUGUUUUUAUUAUGAUAUAUGCAUAUAUGAAAAGGGAAAGCUAUGCUACUUUUGUUUUAACUUAACUGCCAUGGCUGAAUCUAAAAACAGGCAUAAAAUAUGAAUCUAAGUAAUACGAAAAUAAAUCCAAUUUAAAGGUGUCUCCAUCUUUAAUCAAGAGAAACCCUGUUUCUCUGGGUGAGGAUGGAUGUACUUCCUACUGUUGUCAUCAUGAUUAAUAGAUCACCAAUGUAUGAAUGUCUGUGUCCCUAACACAAAUAUAUAUGUAUGUGUAAGGAUGAAACUUUCUAUAUUUAGAAAAUACAGAGUUUUGAGUGCACCAAGAUGAAAAGGUGAAUCAAUGAGGUAUAAAAAUAUUUCCUAUGGCAAACUGUAUUUUAAAAGAUUGCAUACUUUUAAGUACAGCUCUGUAACAUGGGGAUUGGGAAGACUGCACCUUCAUAUAUUGUACUGGGGAUACUUUAAGACAUCUAGAAUAGGUUAGAAAUCAGGAGUCCCUUAGCUAUGGCCUUACCAAAAUAUUACAUAUAUGUACUAUAUGUAAACUUGUUUCAAGUAUCAACUUAUUGAUACUUCUUGAACUUCUUGCUCUUUUUUGUUUUCAAGAAGCUAAUUAGGUAACUUUGGAGAUGUGUAACUAUGAGAUUGUUGGGGUUGGAGAUGUGCAUCUAUGGACGACUGAAUAUGACAGAAGGUUCUCAAUAGUCUCUUCAGGCAGAUGCCAGAAAACAACAGCUCCAGAUAUGCAUUAAAUGUGUAAGGGUAGUAGUUUUCAAUCUUUUGACAAGUGUUGAGAUCAACAUUUGGGCAAUAUUUGACUACGAAAUUGCUUCAACCAUUUUGUCUUUUUCUAUGUAGAAUUCAGUUGUGUUUGUAUACAUACUCUAUGUCCAGAGGUCACUGCGAACUAUCCCGUAGUGCAUAAUGUGCCUGAUAAUAGAUACAUAUGUAAUAUAAAGAUAAGAAUUACAUCAUAACCUUAAAAGUAACACCGUGGUCUCCUACAAUUUCAGAAACCUGAGCUUAGCUUUACACCCUACAGUAAUUUUUAACAGUUUUGGUGAUUGUGCAGUGGUUGUACAUCAUUAUGAAGAAUCAAGGAUUACCCUCAGAUCUUUUGGGGUUAUAAUCAAGCAAGCUAGAUAGGAGAAAAUGAUUGUCUUCAAGAGCUGUUACUUGGUCCUAAUGAGAAGCCUGAAUCACAAGAGUAUUUGUGACAUUUUUGCUGGACUCAGGGAAUGACUAGCCUGUAUUUAGCAGACUAUCAAAAGAGGAAAUUGUAUUCUGGUAAAUGUGAUUUUUGCCAUUGCUAGGAAAAGGCAAUAGGCCUGACAGUGCAGGGUCUUAGGACCUGUCUGGGCUGGCUUGCCUUGGACAGAGUUUGAUGUAAUACGUUUCUAGUAGCUGAGUGACUAUUGCUGAAACUCUGUGAGGGUGCCCUGGGGACAAGGCUCUGACACCCCUGGUUAGUGCCUGUGUGACAAACAACUGCCCUUAACAUUGUUCAAGGCUGGGAGAGGCUGUUGUGCAGUUUUCAGACUUCAGCGGGUAACCUAAGGACUUAGGAGGAAGAGCUGUCCCCUCUUCCCAAACAUCAUACCACUUGCAGCAAAGACCUCAGGGGGCUGAUGCUCUGCCAUAACACGAGCCCUUCCCACACCUUCUCAAGGAAGACCUAAACUGUCAACCAUAGGACCUAAAGGCAUGUUGGAAAGGUGAGCAUAACAUUAAGAGAAAAGGGACAGGUAUUAGGAAGUUUUUUGUAUAACAAUUUUAACUGUCUUAUUAUUUUUUUCUGUAUUAAUCACAUAAUUUGGACUAUUAGAUUGUUAAAAACAUUUAUUGGUCUAAUGGUAGAUUCUUAGUUCCAUAUAUAUGGUUCCCUUUUGUCUGUAACAAGAUUUUGAGUGUAACACCAAGGAACGUUAUCUCCCUGCCCAUUUUUCUGCUCACUCAAAAUACCAUUGGUGGUGACUGAGAACCAAUUCAAUGAACUGGUACUGAUGUUUGGCUGUUAAAAAUUAAACCACAACUCAUCACUGUAAUAAAGACAAGAUCCAGAAGACUGUCUGCAUAAAGCAUUUGGGACUUCAAGAAGUUCUGUACUUCACACGCAAUUUUCACAGCAUUGAACACCUUGGUGAACUCAAUAUAUACAGAAUCUUAAAUCCUGGAACGCAAUUUCAUUGGGUUUUUUUGAAGAUUAAAUAGUUGUACAAAUAUUAAUGAACUGA
Dromaius novaehollandiae (emu) is the source of this 6709-nucleotide long non-coding RNA. RefSeq lists it as uncharacterized. The record is from RefSeq and is a predicted model, not a curated record. The transcript is spliced from 4 exons. Lineage: Eukaryota; Metazoa; Chordata; Aves; Casuariiformes; Dromaiidae.